This 65-nucleotide transfer RNA is filed under the name Chamaemyia juncorum. RNAcentral's name for it is "tRNA-Asp". The record is from RNAcentral. Lineage: Eukaryota; Metazoa; Arthropoda; Insecta; Diptera; Chamaemyiidae.
AAAAAAUUAGUUAAAGUAUAACAUUAGUAUGUCAUACUGAAAUUAUUAAAAAUUAAUAUUUUUUA